UCUCUCUCCUCGUCGCGGUGAGAGUUCUGAUUUCCAUCUGAAUCCGCGGGAAAAAGAGAGAUCAAAGUCCCAUGGAAAAUCGAUCGCGUCCAGAAUCAUCCAUGUGGCGGUUUUCUGGCUCGGUGCUCGAUCACUCACUUUCUUUACGAGAGCUUUGCGCUUCCAGGUAAUGUCGUUUUCUCAGUUCUCUUCUCAUUUUCAAUGAGUACAGAUUACUUCGGCGUUUCUGUUUUUUUUUUUUCAUGGUGGUAAUGAAUGUUUUCUGCCUUUCGUAGUAGAUGAUCUUGAUUUUUGAUCGUUGUGUGUUGUUUUUUGUAACGGAAGUUGAGUUUCUUUGUAUGUAAUGGAUGCAUGGCUGGGAUACUGGCAUCGGAUGAUUCUUAGAUGAACUAUUUAAGACUUAUAUUAUUGUUUAUUUCAGGAUUUUGACGCGAUGUGUAUAAUGUUCUUGCUUAAAUGUUUUAUACUUCACUUGCAUGACGAGCUGUCUGAUUUUCUCACAGAAUGCAGCCUCAGGGAUAUUGCAUCCACGCUAUUUUUUUACGGAUCAUUCAUUUCUAAAAAAAUAAUUUAGCAACCUACAUACGCAAUAUUUUCUCAUUAUCUUAUAAAAUUGUGACGUAAGAUAGGUGGAAUCUCGGGCUGCUGAUGGCUGGCCACCACGUAAAUGAAUGUGAAACCAAAGGUGCCCUUACAAUAUUUAUUUGUUUGAAAUUUUACUCAUUGACGUCUAUGCGUUUUCGUGAAUUUGGAACUGGAUGUUAAGACACGAAGUGCACAAUGGAAGGAAUUGUCAUAUAGGAGUGAAUUUCAAGUAGCCUGUUGUCUGUGCUAUUGUCUUUUACCUUUGAUGUUUAGAAGACAAUUGUCUAUGCAGAACUUGUGAUAAGAUUAUAGAAGAUUCAUCAUAUUUGAAAGCCAGCGGAUGAAAUUAUGAGUUUGCAGACAUGUUCUGAAAGUAAAUCUGCAUUUUAUAUCUGUAGGAUUUUUAUCAUUAUCUUGUAUGAUUUAAUAUUCCUGUUUAGUUUUGCACUCAAUGCGUACCAUUAGCUAUCUUUUGUUUUGUUAACUGAUCAUAGUUGCACCCUGCAAUGGCAGUAACCUCAUACAGUAAGUUAUUGCCUGCUUGUACCUUAGACACUUCGUUCCAAGUUUUAUGUAAGGAUUUUUUAUAUUUUUUCUAAAUGUUAAAUAUGGACCUUAAUUACCAAUUUUAGGACUCUUGUUAUUUUUUUGUUAAUAUUAUUACUUGUGCUUAUACGAUGGAUGGUUAACAUGCAUAUCAUUUUUUAGUGAGUUCAAUGUCUCUUCUUAUAUUUCUUAAAUUGUUAAUAGCACUGUUUUCAUUAGAUAUAAUCAUUAUCUUUCAGGACCAGUUGUAAUGUGGGAAAUGUAUAUAGUAUUUCUAUACAUUAUACAGGUAUAUAUUUAAAAUAUUUUUGGCUAAUUGAAGAAGUUGGUGGCUAUGACCAUCUGAAUUGACGUUGUAAUGGAGGUAUCUUAUCAAAAGACGAUAUUAGAAGUCAAAGAAUAGAGAAGAACCUUGAGAAGGCAGAAUAUUGUAGAACCCUUCACAGUUCUACGGAUCCAUUUAGUGUUUUCUGGCUUGAAUCCACUACUGUUGAUGUGCUUUUUUCUCUAGGUAGUGUUUGGGCCGCCUUCUUUUGAGCUUUUGAAAUCAAGGACUUUAGUGCUAUUAGUAAGGUCCCAAGGAGUCUUAUUUCUUUUAUCUCUUGAUUUACAAAUUCAAAUUUGAUUAGGUCUGAGAGUUCUUUUCCUUUAUCUCUUGAUAAUUCCCUGAUUUUUUUACAUUAAUCAUCUAAUGAUUUUAUCCUUCCGUUUCAUAGAUCAAAUCUACCCAGCUUGAUUUAUUUUUAAAAUUUAUGAGUUACUGAUAUCUCUCUAGCAAGGUCAUACCACAUACUAUAAAUGGCAAAUAGAAAUGGCUGUUGAUGCUCUGUUUAUUCUUGUGUAUGUACAGGAAAGUUUAGUGCCUAAAAGAUGCACUAGCUUGCUGGUAUACAAUAUUUCACCCAGUAACACAUAAAUUUUAGGUUGCGUACCUCUCUUCAAAAGGUAAGGGGUUGAGUAUGUUUAUGAACAAGGGCUUAAGUUUAUAUUGAACCAAUUUAUAAAGAUUGUAUUAAUUUUAGAUGUGGAAAAGGCUUAAAUGUUGUUGCAAGCUAUUAAAUGUGGUUGAUGCUAAAUUCAAAAUUAGAUUCUUGUUGUCUUUGAUAUGUAAUAGCUAUUUUCUUGCUUUUGUAAUAUUCACUCGUUAAUUGGUUUAAGUAAAGCAUGAUUCUAGUUGAAAUAUCUGGCUAAAUGAGGUGUGAGUGAGCCUUUUCUUUUAAUAUUGAAUUCAUGGUUUUUACGCAUGUUACCAGUUAGGUACAUUAGCAGUAGAGCUGUACAUGGUUAUAAUCUGGACCUGUUUGUGAUUCAAGGAGCAAUAUUUAUUUAUUCACUCUGCAUUUUCUUGGGUGGUUUUUUCUAUGUUUUCCUUCCACCUUAUUCUUAUUUACCUGUGGGUCAUAAUUGCUUAUCACUCAUGUUAUUGCUGGUGAUUUCUUUUCUGUGUUAACCCUGACAUUGGGCUAUGGGACAUGGCUGGAUUUAUGAUUUCCACUAUAUUGCAUAUCCUACAUACUUUAUUAUCUGUAAGAAGCCCAAGUUCUUCGUUUAUAUGCUGUAUACUUUUGACUUCUACUUUACUAAUUAAUUUGAAGUUUAUUUCUGGUUAGAAUGAAAUUGUGUAAUAGGUGCAUGUAUAAUCUUGUGCACAAAUGUCUUUGUUUUCUCAGCUUUUACUUUUUAGAUAAGAAACAUCAUGUUUCAAGUAAAAAUUACAACUAAUUGUAGGCAUGAUUGGAUAGAAUACAAAUAUUACAUCCAUAAAAGGAUGAUCAUAUAUGUAUGUAAAUUUUUUUUAACUUCCAACUAGAGAGAAUACAAGUUACAUUUGUUACAGCAUCAAUCCAUAAUACAUAAAAUUCUAUAUCAUCAGAGAUAUCAUCUUUUUUUGCUGAUCCACAUUACAUUUAUUCUUGUAUUUAAAGUGACAAAGUUCUUAAAUAAUUGAAAAUAGUUAUCUUAUGUUUUAUGUUAGUAUUUGACGAUCAUGCCAUAGGAUGUUUAGGAUUGUGAAUGAUAUAUCUUGACAUUUGUUAUUAUCUUGUUUAUCCAGAAGGUUAAAUUUAUUAUAUCUAAUAAUAAUAAUUUUUUUAUUAAAAAAUAUGUUUUACUAUAUUCCUUUUGUUAUGAUAUGGUGUCGCAAGUAUGCAAGGGAAGAGGUUAGAUAGAAUGAACAUUCCUUUCCAUUAGGUGUCAUUUGGUUCAUGGAAAAAUGGACCACUCUAGAACUAAGAAUGUAGGUAUGCGAUUAGGAGAAUCAAAUGGUUGAGAAAGAAAGCUAGUAUGUGUUCUUAUGCUUGAAAAGCUGAAGGAAAAAUUAUGGAUUAUAUAACUACUAGUGAUUGCAGGAGAUAUGCAUACUUCAUAAAUUGAUUAUUAGUUUCAAAUGUUAAUGAAACUUCAAACCAUUAUUAUAAAACCACAUAAUAACAACAAAUGUAAUGACGUGAUGCCAUAUCCUCUCUGUGGAAAUCCAGAGGUCCUGUGAGAGGGUUCCACAUUACCAUGAAGCUGAAGGAAUUAGAUUUCUUUUUCUACAGAAACAACUUGUAUGCUAAUAAAAGGAGAAUCCAAACUGAGCAGCGAACACCACCCUAAAGAAGCAAACAUACCCUUAGAGGCGUAACAUAAUUCUGGGAAAAACAUGUAAUAUAUCCUAAUUACAAAAUACAAAGGCAUUAUGGAUUGACAUUUUUAUAUAAUAUUACUGGAAGUUGGGUAUGCCAGGGAGAGAUUACAGAAUGAUUAAAACAUUAGAUUAAAUUAAUCAUAAGCUAACAGCUCAAGUUUUGAGGAUUGGUGAUGAUAAAAGUGAACUGAGAGAACUUUUGUUUCAGAUUCUUUUACUGGUUUAAAAUUCCGUAGUCUUGUAGCUUCUUUACAUUGCUGAAUCUCAUUCAUUAAUCAUUAUAGUAAAGUUUGGAAACACACGCAAGUGUAAUAUUAGCAAAGGAUGUGAAUGGACCCUCAAAACAGCCAACUUUUUUAGGAUAAAAGGACCAGUGGUUGGUUUUGGCAACUCAACAACAGGAAGCCCAGAUUUUAGACAUCUCAUAUGCAAUUCAGUAUCUACCAACUUAGUACCACCUUAUAUAAGAUUGUAUGAACAUUAAUUUUCAUUCAGCUAAUAGGCAUCAGGAGUCUGGUCUAAUUAAUUAACACAACAAACUUUUAAUAACAGCUAGAACAACACAUGGCACAUGGUGCAUUGUCAUUAUUUGUAAACUUACAUAGGUAGCUGGUCUGGCUGCUAAAUUUAUCGCAUAUAUAGAGUUUGAAGAACAUUGCAUACCAAAUGUGAGGGAUCUGGUGAAAACGGAAGCAGGAGACACCUUCAUGUUGAACAUGAUUCAUACUGUAUGAUGAGUUGUUGAAGAAAUGACCAUGGAUAAAUUAUCCAUGAUCUAACUGCUGUUAUUGCAGUUGCAAUCUGUUGCAAGUUUCAAUUAUAUCUAUUCAGCUUGGGAGAAAAAGUUGUCUAGUACAUAUUGAUACUCAGAUGAAUGUGAUUGCAAUUUAAUUCAUAUGUCAUGAACUUAGAUUACUAGAACAUACCCCAGCUUUAUCCCUGGUACUGAUGUUUCACUGUUUUGUGGUUGUGGCUGUCUUAGCUGUAGAGCAGGCAUACUGUAUCUAUUGGUGAUAGUGAAUUGUUGAGUUGAGCUACUGCUCGUUUUAUCCACUUCCAUUGGUCCAUAAACCUGAUAUACUUAAAAAACCCACCAAUAAGCUUAUUUAACAGGAAAUAAAAGUCCGUUUUCAGGACAAUUGAACUCCCGCUGUCGAACUAAAAAAAUCUUAUGACUAAACAAGAGUAGCUUUUGAAGAAGUUGUUCACAUUGAAGCAAUUGAAAAAAAGUUUGGAACUCUACCUUCAUUUGCAGUUCUGCAUUUUCCUUGUGAAUCAUAUCUAACUUCUUGUAUAGUUCCACAUUUUCUUGAUGCAUAUGAUUCCCCUGCAACAUAAUUAUAGCAAGUCAGCUGAUGUUACUGUACUUGAUAUCAUCAGAUAACAUGGAUGUUUACAAUGGGGAGAAACCUUCUGUCUUAGUUCCGUAAUUUCAUCCCUUAAAAUCUUUUCCUGCAAGGUAAAUACAAGAAGUAAACAUCUGUAUUCAAGAGGCUUUAUCAGAUUUUGUAGAUCUUUGACACUCAGGCCAGAUAGUUCUUCGCCCAUCAAUUGUCUGCAAAUAUAGAAGCACAAGAUAUAUUAUGAAUUCUUUUGCGUAUUUGUUUGAAGUGUUGGAUUAUAUUACCAUUUCCAAUGGAUCAGGCUUGCAUUCUAUAAUUUUAUCUCAGUAAUUAGCACGUCUUAGUUAUGAUAUAGAUCAUGGAUGGCAACUUAUGGUGUUAGUAAAAUGUUGAGUACACCUUUUAUGAUGAUCAAAUCAUCAGCCUAGUUUUACCAGACCAAGAAUCAUGUGAUGCUUGUCACUCAUACUUAGAAUAUAUUUUGACGUUCCCGCUUACCUUACAAAGUUUUGUAGAACAGAAGAUUGAAAAGGGAUUUAGAGCCAUAUAAUAUUUGAUAUGCCAGUGCUCUCAGUUGGAUAUUUGCUCAUGAAGGAAGGUACAAAAAAAGGACGAAAUAAUGGAGUUUGACCCAAAUUUGAAAUCAACAAAUGGUUUUGUGUAGAGAAAAUGCACGAGGUCAAGCACUGAGGAUGAGCUAAGCCUUUGCAUAAACCAUCGUGGGGGUUUUCUUUGGUAUGCCUCGUCAUAGUUGUAUCAGUAUUCUGUUGAAGCAUACCUAAUUGGCUCUCAUAUAGAAGUCCAGGAAUCCAUCAUACCUGAUUGGUUCUCAUAUAGAAGUCCAGGAAUCUAUAGGAUUACAGUAAUCCAAUAACAUUCUUGAUUUGCAAAUUGCAGUACAAUAUACAAGCUCCUAGCUAUGAACUGCCCAGGAAGUUUGAUAGUCCUGAGUUCUACUCCACUCUUCCCUACUGUAGAAUUUUCUCCACGCAUCUUAUUGUUGUGUUGCUCCCAACAGAAAAUUAACCACCUAGAUAAAAGACCCUCCUACACCUGUCAACUUAUUUCUUCGUACACUAGUAUGUAAUUGAUUAUUUUUCUUUUCCCUCAAGGAUUGAUUCAUCGUCACUAUGCUCUGAGCCAUUCUUGUACCGAUCAUGCAACUCUUAGGUUAAAUGGUCCCUUACAUAUCUUCUGUGUAUGCAAACAUCAAAUUUAUAUAUUAUGAAUGUUGUAGUCUACAUGUUUGAUCAUUUAAUAUUCACACGUCUUUUCGGCAUGUGAUUGUCAUUCAAGCUUAUAACGAAAGUUUCCUACAUGCAAUAAAAAUAACAAAGGGCUUCACUCAACCAAAAUAAAACCUAGAAGAUAACUACACAAAUAUUUAUACACCAAGCCUAGAAAGAGAUAUGAAACCUAACAAGGGACAAACUUCUUCCUAAGAUCUCUUAGUCUCUGUAAAAAAUUUAUUGUUCCUUUGUUCACGUGUGCUCUAUUCCUAGUUGGAAUAACUAUUGAUAUUAUCUAUGUUGAGUUAUCCUUUACUUGAUUCUUUGAAUUGGAAUCAUUUGAACAUGCGUAGUAGAAAGAAAUGUUUAUCCUUUUAGCCCCUAAAUUAACUCGUACAUUUUUCUUGUUCCUCAUAUCUAAUAUUUCUGCACUUGGAUUGGCAAAAGAAAAGUUUGGUUUCUUGUGAAUGACCUGUGAAAUAGAGGAACAUAUGGGUUUUGCUCACUACUUGAUAUAAUAGUAGUGACAGGCUGAAACCUUAAUAGGGUACAUUUGAGAAGUUUUCAGCGUUUAAAUAUUGUUUUUUAAAAAGCAUGUCAAUAUUGUGAAAUUUUUUCGGAACGGAUUAAUUUAGGAUCUCUAUUCCGAGUUCAAUUAAUUUCAUUUGCAAGUUAUUUGAACUCUAAAUUUGGAGACAAAAUAUCUUUUAAGGAAUUUUACUACUUUCUACAUGGGCACUGUUUAGAUUUUUCGUUCAAGUCUACGGGGGUUCUUCAGUAAUUUUCUGAUGAGAUAUAGCACUGAAAACUAAAAUUUAGCUAUUGUUAAACAUACAUUUGAAAGCUUAUGCUCCCUAAACAUUUUUUGGCUGAUCUUUUUUUCCUUGUAUUACAUUUAGAGUACAGCAGGGUUGGAGUACCUGUGACAUUCUUGCAAGUAAUGCAGUUGUUGCUUCAAAGCUGCUGCCUCUCUUUUCCAAAACUAGCAAUUAUAGAACAGAUGAUCAGCAUUGCAGUUUUACUUGUAGCAUGAUGAAUGAAGAUUUUACCUGGAGUUCUGAAACAGAGUUCAUCAGCUGAUUUUGCUCCUCUUUCACCUUGUAGUAACGAUCGGUAAUUGAUCUUAUGCUGAUAAGAUAGAAACUGUUAAUUCAGUUCAUAACCACACCUGAAAUCAAAUCUGGAAUUUUUAAUUGCCAUGUCACCAUCAUAAGGAUUUAUUACGUGAGUUGUGAAUAUAAUCUGCUCAUAGCAUGCUGUAGAGUGAUCAGUUUGUUCGCUAUCUCAUAUAAGCACGUCGAAUUUGGGUGCUUGUCAGUUAUUGAAACUCACCCAAACUCCUAUUUCACAUAAUAUUUCAAAUUAGAAAGAGAAUCUCAAUGCCUUUCUUUCAGAAGCCAUGGAACUUUGUACAAAGAUGUUACGAAGAUGGAUCGGUACAAUUUUCCGAACUUAGCUGCAAUUUAUGCCGUAUUUUUUCUGGUAAGGGUUGUGAUCUGUGUUGCUAGAAGGCUAUGAUAGCUUGAUUCUGAUUAUCGUGUUUUAAUAUGACAUAGCAACAAUGCCUAAUAAAUGAUUUUUGUAACUUAGUGUACAGAAAGGGAAAACCAAUUAGAUAUAGAUAGAUGCAAGCAUAGUACUCUUAUCUCUUAUUCCUACUUAAUAAAUAAAUAAACAUCUGCAAGAAUAGAUGGAAAUUUUUGUUC
Long non-coding RNA from Cucurbita moschata (crookneck pumpkin), 8038 nucleotides. RefSeq lists it as uncharacterized. The transcript has 4 exons. The record is from RefSeq and is a predicted model, not a curated record. NCBI's taxonomy places the organism in Eukaryota, Viridiplantae, Streptophyta, Magnoliopsida, Cucurbitales, Cucurbitaceae.